Molecule: ribosomal RNA, 435 nt
Filed under: uncultured Oscillospiraceae bacterium
Lineage: Bacteria; Bacillati; Bacillota; Clostridia; Eubacteriales; Oscillospiraceae
Description: bacterial SSU rRNA
Rfam family: Bacterial small subunit ribosomal RNA
Source: RNAcentral
ACGGAAGGCAGCAGUCGGGAAUAUUGCGCAAUGGAGGAAACCCUGACGCAGUGACGCCGCGUAUAGGACGAAGGUCUUCGGAUUGUAAACUAUUGUCGUUAGGGAAGAGAAAGGACAGUACCUAAGGAGGAAGCUCCGGCUAACUACGUGCCAGCAGCCGCGGUAAUACGUAGGGAGCGAGCGUUAUCCGGAUUUAUUGGGUGUAAAGGGUGCGUAGACGGGAAAUUAAGUUAGUUGUGAAAUCCCUCGGCUUAACUGAGGAACUGCAACUAAAACUGGUUUUCUUGAGUAUUGGAGAGGAAAGCGGAAUUCCUAGUGUAGCGGUGAAAUGCGUAGAUAUUAGGAGGAACACCAGUGGCGAAGGCGGCUUUCUGGACAAAAACUGACGUUGAGGCACGAAAGUGUGGGGAGCAAACAGGAUUAGAUACCCUGGUA